This 264-nucleotide ribosomal RNA is filed under the name uncultured methanogenic archaeon. Its description in RNAcentral is "partial 16S ribosomal RNA". It matches the Rfam family "Archaeal small subunit ribosomal RNA", at positions 366 to 631 of the family's 1478-position model. The record is from RNAcentral. Lineage: Archaea; Methanobacteriati; Methanobacteriota.
CGUGAUAGGGGACACCGAGUGCCAGCAUCAUAUGCUGGCUGUCCGGGUGUGUAAAAUACAUCCGUUAGCAAGGGCCGGGCAAGACCGGUGCCAGCCGCCGCGGUAACACCGGCGGCCCGAGUGGUGAUCGUGAUUAUUGGGUCUAAAGGGUCCGUAGCCGGUUUGGUCAGUCCUCCGGGAAAUCUGAUAGCUCAACUAUUAGGCUUUCGGGGGAUACUGCCAGGCUUGGAACCGGGAGAGGUAAGAGGUACUACAGGGGUAGGA